UUGCAAAAUCUAAGUAUGAUCCAUGAGAACAUGCACACAAAUUUAACUACUUGGCAUAAAAGAGCAUAAGUUCAUCAUCUAAGAACAGUAGAAUAAAGAGGUACACAAUCAUAGAAGAGAUUAUGUGUGCAGAUAUGAUGAUAUAUAAGCCUAUUCAAUUAUUCCAUUUGAUGUGAUGAUAUGAGGUGCACAUUGAACCUCUCGUUCUUUUCUCAUAGCAAAUAACACCAGGAUCAUAGCAGUAAGCCAAUUAUAAAGUGGCAAGAAGAUGAUUAUCCAGUAGUUUUUUCUGCGGUUGAUUUGAGAUAAAAAAAAUAGAGGCGAUACUUGCUGCACUUCUGCAUCCGUAACUUCUCGACACUGUUCAUGUCUUGAUUCAUUUAGGCUAGCUAUCUUCUUGCUGCUUGAGAAUUUGAUAGCAAACUCUGCAAUGCACCCAAAAAAGAUUAGACUUGAUAGGAAAUCUCUAUUGUCUUAUAGUCGAAGAAUAGGCUUGCAUCAACAAAAAUACAAAAAAAUUAAAAUUUGACAGUGUUAGGAACAUGCAGUGAUAUACUGAGCCAUAAACUCUUGCAAUGAUACACUGAACCAUAAAAUGCACACAAACCAGAUGGGACUUGAAGAGAAGUCAGCAGUAUUACAUGCAUUAGAAAGCAAGUAAACUGUUGAUUGGAAAACAGAGUUUGCCUAACAGACUGCACCACAAAAAUGUUUUAAUAACAUGAGAAUGCAUACCGAACGGAACUUUUCUAGUCUAUGUUUUAUUGAGAGCAGUACACAUAAACAGUGGAACUUGCUACGAUAGACCAAAUUAUUUUAAUCGAGUGAAGAAAAGAACAGAAUGAUUUCUAUUGGUAGAAGAAUAUAUACCUCUGGCCUCUCUGUAUCCUUCCAUAUAUUCAUCCGAUUAACACACGCAAAUCCUAGAAAAAAGAACAAAUAGAAAGGAGGCCAACCACUGAUGCUCUAAGCUCCGAAGAGCAUAGCCAUGUAGCACUUGAUCUAUGCCUUCAGCACAAAUAAAGAGAAAAUUACAGAGUAAAGAGUUCUUCUGUGAUAGUUGAGAAACGGACCAGGGAAACUAAUUUAGCUGCCCACCAAGAAGUAGAAAAAUCCAGUGAAGUGAUACCCUUGAUGCUGCAAUCUUCCGCAUUUAUUUGGAGAACCUGCUUCCCUUACAAUACUACAGAAAAUAAUAUCCAUUCAUUUUGGUUAUUUGCUACUGAAACAAAAACUGAUGGCUAGAAACAGAACUGAUGGCUAGAAACAGGAGUCAUGUCUAUAGAGAACUGAGAUAGGUGUAGUGCCAUUACCUAUUAAAGGAAGGAAAUAACAAUGAACCAUGCCUGUCAAUCAGUCUAUAGCUAGAAGGCCAAGCGCCCCAUCGACUAUCUGCACAAGCACACCCCAACCUACAUUGGAGUAAUGGAGCUCAUAUUAGCUUCCCUCGCAACAAAUAGUUGAUAUUUAUGAGCUAAUAUGCAUAAAAGGCCCACUUAAUAUAUCUGUAAGAAGUUGGAUUCAGGUCUCGUUUUGGUGCUCAAUCAUAAUUAUGCCCCUG
RNAcentral lists this long non-coding RNA (1561 nucleotides) under Triticum aestivum (bread wheat). Its description in RNAcentral is "long non-coding RNA (TAES_LNC013414)". The record is from RNAcentral. Lineage: Eukaryota; Viridiplantae; Streptophyta; Magnoliopsida; Poales; Poaceae.